CUACCCGGGUUUCUAAUCCUGUUCGCUACCCACGCUUUCGUCCAUCAGCGUCAGUUGUAACUUAGUAACCUGCCUUCGCAAUUGGUGUUCUGAGUAAUAUCUAUGCAUUUCACCGCUACACUACUCAUUCCAGCUACUUCAACUACACUCAAGACUGACAGUAUCAACGGCAGUUUCAUAGUUAAGCUAUGAGAUUUCACCGCUGACUUACCAGUCCGCCUACGGACCCUUUAAACCCAAUAAAUCCGGAUAACGCUUGCACCCUCCGUAUUACCGCGGCUGCUGGCAC
Molecule: ribosomal RNA, 289 nt
Filed under: uncultured Flavobacteriaceae bacterium
Lineage: Bacteria; Pseudomonadati; Bacteroidota; Flavobacteriia; Flavobacteriales; Flavobacteriaceae
Description: partial 16S ribosomal RNA
Source: RNAcentral